Molecule: non-coding RNA, 315 nt
Organism: Rattus norvegicus (Norway rat)
Lineage: Eukaryota; Metazoa; Chordata; Mammalia; Rodentia; Muridae
Source: RefSeq, a predicted model, not a curated record
GAGAUGAUCCCAAACACCCAGAAACACCAAGGAUCACUAGGAGAAGCAAGUAAGUGGUGGAGAAAUGAAAGAGAAAGAAAGACAGAAGGAUGUGGGUGCAAAGAAGAACGGCAGAAUUGGAAAGUAGAGGACGGCAGAGAACAGUGAGGAACAGCCUGAUGGAGAAGACCCUGCAUCUCAUCUGGGCAGCACAGUAGAGCUGAACUUGAUGACAGGGCUUGGGUGAGCUGGCCCUGAAAGUGUGAACAAGGGAGAACUGGCUCCUUGACUUCUCUGCCAUGUGGCAUCAUGAAUAAAGGAGCGAUGCCCCUGUCA